This 334-nucleotide unclassified non-coding RNA is filed under the name soil metagenome. Its description in RNAcentral is "partial contains 5.8S ribosomal RNA, internal transcribed spacer 2, and large subunit ribosomal RNA". The stretch from base 1 to 121 matches the Rfam family "5.8S ribosomal RNA", at positions 35 to 154 of the family's 154-position model. The record is from RNAcentral.
GAUGAAGAACGCAGCGAAAUGCGAUAAGUAAUGCGAAUUGCAGAAUUUCCGUGAGUCAUCGAAUCUUUGAACGCACAUUGCGCCCAUUGGUAUUCCGAUGGGCAUGCCUGUUCGAGCGUCAUUUACCCCUCAAGCACUGCUUGGUGUUGGGCGUCUGUCCCGCUUCGCGCGCGGACUCGCCCCAAAGGUAUUGGCAGCGGUCGUGCCAGCUUCUCGCGCAGCACAUUGCGCUUCUCGAGGCGGUCGAUCGGCGUCCACGAAGCUCACCUCCACCGUUUGACCUCGGAUCAGGUAGGGAUACCCGCUGAACUUAAGCAUAUCAAUAAGCGGAGGA